AACGAACGCUGGCGGCGUGUUUAAGACAUGCAAGUCGAACGGGGUGAAGUUGUAGUAAUACCGCUUCACCCAGUGGCGCACGGGUGCGUAACACGUGAGUUACAUGCCCUGCAGUGGGGAAUAGCCCGCCGAAAGGCGGAUUAAUACCCCAUGGUCCCGCAAGGGUAAAGGUGGCGCAAGCUGCCGCUGCAGGAUUGGCUCGCGGCCUAUCAGCUAGUUGGUGAGGUAACGGCUCACCAAGGCGACGACGGGUACCUGGUCUGAGAGGAUGAUCAGGCACACUGGAACUGAGACACGGUCCAGACACCUACGGGUGGCAGCAGUCGAGAAUAAUUCACAAUGGGGGAAACCCUGAUGGUGCAACGCCGCGUGGAGGAUGAAGGUCUUCGGAUUGUAAACUCCUGUCAUCGGGGAGUAAGACCUGAGCGUGAAUAGCGCACAGGGUUGAUAGUACCCGAAGAGGAAGGGACGGCUAACUUCGUGCCAGCCGCCGCGGUAAAAC
This 502-nucleotide ribosomal RNA is filed under the name uncultured bacterium. Its description in RNAcentral is "bacterial SSU rRNA". It matches the Rfam family "Bacterial small subunit ribosomal RNA", at positions 29 to 526 of the family's 1533-position model. The record is from RNAcentral.